Molecule: long non-coding RNA, 1083 nt
Filed under: Sinocyclocheilus grahami
Lineage: Eukaryota; Metazoa; Chordata; Actinopteri; Cypriniformes; Cyprinidae
Description: lncRNA (ENSSGRG00000000221.1)
Source: RNAcentral
UAUAUUGCGUCUUAUGGAAAAACAAAAUGAAAUCACUGCCAUGUUGGUACAACAACGCAAUAUUUCAUUACUUCCUCACAGAGAUAUUGUAUCCUUUGAUGGAGAUCCUUUGCAAUAUCAAUGGUUCAUACGAUCAUUUGAGGAGGUUGUGGAAAAAAGGGCAGACAAUUAUGGUGACUGUUUCUAUUUUCUUGAGCAGUAUACCCGAGGUCAACCAAGAGAACUCGUCAGAAGUUGUCAACAUAUGGUUUCCAAACAGGGUUACUUGAAAGCCAAGGCCUUACUUAAGGAACACUUUGGAAAUGAAGUCAAAAUAUCUUCAGCAUACAUGGACAAAGUGCUCUCUUGGAAGUCCAUAAAACCUGAAGAUGCAAAGGCUUUACAAGAUUAUCAUCUUUUUCUUAGAGCUUGCUGUAAUGCCAUGGAGGGUGUUCGUUAUAUGAAAGAGUUAAACCUGGUUACUAAUAUGCAAAUUAUUCUUUCCAAAUUGCCCUUUAAACUCCGAGACAAAUGGAGAGCAGUAGCGUGUGAUUUGCAGGAAAACCGUAAUGAACAAGCAACAUUUAAAGACAUCGUGGAUUUCGUAGAGAAGCAAGUAAAAAUUGCUACUGAUCCUGUGUUUGGAAACAUUGUUGAGGCUCCUCUGGGAGGUCGAAGCUUGAUUCGUUCUAAGCCUAAGGGAAGUAGUUUUGCCACUACUGUCACUGUAACUGGAAUGGAAGACAUCAGGAAAACUAAUAAAGGUGUAUCCUGUCUUUUUUGUGGCGAAGAACAUUUUUUUAAUUCCUGUACAUGCUUACCAAAAAAACCCAUAAGGAAAAGAUGGAUUUUCUGAAGAAAAAAGGAAUCUGUUUUGGCUGUUUAUGCACAGGCCAUAUUAGUAGAGAUUUUAAGAUGCGAAUUACAUGCACAGUGUGUGGCUUUAAACACCCCAGUGUUCUUCAUGUUUUUCGGCAAGAGAUAACUGAGGAGCCAAAGCAAGCAGUGGGUAGUGCGCGGAUCUCGGUUCAGUCAAGUGGUCUUACUGGGGCCGGUGAAGAUGCNNNNNNNNNNNNNNNNNNNNNNNNNNNNNNNNNNNNNNNN